RNAcentral lists this ribosomal RNA (710 nucleotides) under uncultured Enterobacteriaceae bacterium. RNAcentral's name for it is "bacterial SSU rRNA". It matches the Rfam family "Bacterial small subunit ribosomal RNA", at positions 791 to 1502 of the family's 1533-position model. Lineage: Bacteria; Pseudomonadati; Pseudomonadota; Gammaproteobacteria; Enterobacterales; Enterobacteriaceae. The record is from RNAcentral.
UAGUCCACGCUGUAAACGAUGUCGAUUUGGAGCUUGUUGCCUAGAGUGAUGGGCUCCGAAGCUAACGCGAUAAAUCGACCGCUGGGGAGUACGGCCGCAAGGUUAAAACUCAAAUGAAUUGACGGGGGCCCGCACAAGCGGUGGAGCAUGUGGUUUAAUUCGAUGCAACGCGAAGAACCUUACCUGGUCUUGACAUCCAUAGAAUUCUGCAGAGAUGUGGGAGUGCCUUCGGGAACUAUGAGACAGGUGCUGCAUGGCUGUCGUCAGCUCGUGUUGUGAAAUGUUGGGUUAAGUCCCGCAACGAGCGCAACCCUUAUUCUUUGUUGCCAGCGAUUUGGUCGGGAACUCAAAGGAGACUGCCGUUGAUAAAGCGGAGGAAGGUGGGGACGACGUCAAGUCAUCAUGGCCCUUACGACCAGGGCUACACACGUGCUACAGUGGCGUAUACAAAGGGAAGCGAAGGUGCGAGCUGGAGCGGAUCUCAUAAAGUACGUCUAAGUUCGGAUUGGAGUCUGCAACUCGACUCCAUGAAGUCGGAAUCGCUAGUAAUCGUAGAUCAGAAUACUACGGUGAAUACGUUCCCGGGCCUUGUACACACCGCCCGUCACACCAUGGGAGUGGGUUGCACCAGAAGUAGAUAGCUUAACCGCGAGGGGGGCGUUUACCACGGUGUGAUUCAUGACUGGGGUGAAGUCGUAACAAGGUAACCA